AGGGUUUGAUCAUGGCUCAGGACGAACGCUGGCGGCAUGCCUAACACAUGCAAGUCGAACGAGAAAGUUCCUUCGGGAGCAAUUAAAGUGGCGCACGGGUGAGUAACGCGUAGACAAUCUGCCCUUCAGUCUGGGACAACUUUUCGAAAGGAGAGCUAAUACCGGAUAACAAUGCAUGACACAAGUUGUAUAUUUGAAAGCUUUAUGUGCUGAAGGAGGGGUCUGCGUCCCAUUAGCUAGUUGGUAAGGUAAAGGCUUACCAAGGCAACGAUGGGUAGCGGGUUUGAGAGGACGAUCCGCCACACUGGAACUGAGACACGGUCCAGACUCCUACGGGAGGCAGCAGUGGGGAAUAUUGCACAAUGGAGGAAACUCUGAUGCAGCAAUGUCGCGUGAGUGAAGAAGGCCCUUGGGUCGUAAAGCUCUUUUAUGGGGGAAGAUGAUGACGGUACCCCAAGAAUAAGCACCGGCUAACUAUGUGCCAGCAGCCGCGGUAAUACAUAGGGUGCGAGCGUUGUUCGGAAUUACUGGGCGUAAAGGGCGCGCAGGCGGAAUAGUAAGUCGGAGGUGAAAGCCCGGGGCUCAACCCCGGAGGGUCUUUCGAAACUACUAAUCUAGAGAGGGUCAGGGGCCGGCAGAAUUCCUGGUGUAGAGGUGAAAUUCGUAGAUAUC
RNAcentral lists this ribosomal RNA (672 nucleotides) under uncultured bacterium. RNAcentral's name for it is "bacterial SSU rRNA". It matches the Rfam family "Bacterial small subunit ribosomal RNA", at positions 8 to 698 of the family's 1533-position model. The record is from RNAcentral.